UAGACCGAUAGCGAACAAGUAGAGUGAUCGAAAGAUGAAAAGCACUUUGAAAAGAGAGUUAAAAAGCACGUGAAAUGUUGAAAGGGAAGCGCUUGCGACCAGACUCGCUCGCGGGGUUCAGCCGGCAUUCGUGCCGGUGUACUUCCCCGCGGGCGGGCCAGCGUCGGUUUGGGCGGUCGGUCAAAGGCCCUCGGAAGGUAACGCCCCUAGGGGCGUCUUAUAGCCGAGGGUGCAAUGCGACCUGCCUAGACCGAGGAACGCGCUUCGGCUCGGACGCUGGCAUAUGGUCGUAAACGACCCGUCUUGAAACACGGACCAAGACUUUA
RNAcentral lists this ribosomal RNA (326 nucleotides) under Penicillium sp. RNAcentral's name for it is "partial large subunit ribosomal RNA". It matches the Rfam family "Eukaryotic large subunit ribosomal RNA", at positions 330 to 677 of the family's 3401-position model. Lineage: Eukaryota; Fungi; Ascomycota; Eurotiomycetes; Eurotiales; Aspergillaceae. The record is from RNAcentral.